AUUGAACGCUGGCGGAACGCUUUACACAUGCAAGUCGAACGGUAACGUGGGGAGGAGCUUGCUCCACCCCGACGACGAGUGGCGAACGGGUGAGUAAUACAUCGGAACGUGUCCGCCUGUGGGGGACAACCAGCCGAAAGGUUGGCUAAUACCGCAUGAGUUCUACGGAAGAAAGAGGGGGACCCGCAAGGGCCCCUCGCGAGCGGAGCGGCCGAUGACUGAUUAGCCGGUUGGUGAGGUAACGGCUCACCAAAGCAACGAUCAGUAGCUGGUCUGAGAGGACGACCAGCCACACUGAGACUGAGACACGGCCCAGACUCCUACGGGAGGCAGCAGUGGGGAAUAUUGCGCAAUGGGGGGAACCCUGACGCAGCCAUGCCGCGUGAAUGAAGAAGGCCUUCGGGUUGUAAAGUUCUUUCGGUGGUGAGGAAGGUUAGGAUGUUAAUAGCAUACUGAUUUGACGUUAGCCACAGAAGAAGCACCGGCUAACUCCGUGCCAGCAGCCGCGGUAAUACGGAGGGUGCGAGCGUUAAUCGGAAUAACUGGGCGUAAAGGGCACGCAGGCGGGACGUUAAGUGAGAUGUGAAAGCCCCGGGCUUAACCUGGGAACAGCAUUUCAUACUGGCGUACUAGAGUACUUUAGGGAGGGGUAGAAUUCCACGUGUAGCGGUGAAAUGCGUAGAGAUGUGGAGGAAUACCGAAGGCGAAGGCAGCCCCUUGGGAAGAUACUGACGCUCAUGUGCGAAAGGCGUGGGGAGCAAACAGG
This 766-nucleotide ribosomal RNA is filed under the name uncultured bacterium. RNAcentral describes it as "bacterial SSU rRNA". It matches the Rfam family "Bacterial small subunit ribosomal RNA", at positions 28 to 776 of the family's 1533-position model. The record is from RNAcentral.